AUUGAACGCUGGCGGCAGGCCUAACACAUGCAAGUCGAGCGGAUGAAGGGAGCUUGCUCCUGGCUUCAGCGGCGGACGGGUGGGUCAUUCCUAGGAAUCUGCCUGGUCGUGGGGGAUAACGUCCGGAUACGGGCGCUAAUAUAGCAUCCGUCCUGAGGGAGAAAGUGGGGGAUCUUCGGACAUCACGCUAUCUGCUGCACCUCGGUGGGUUUCGCUAGUUGGUUGGGUAAAGGCUUACCAAGGCGACCAUCCGUAACUCGUCUGAGAGGAUGAUCAGUCACACUGGAACGGAGAAACGGUCCAGACUCCUACGGGAGGAACCAUAGGGGAAUAUUGGACAAGGGGGGAAAGCCUAACCCAGACAGGCCGCUGGUGGGAAGAAGUUCUUCGGAUGUUAAAGCACGUUAAGUGGGGAGGAAGGGCGUGAGGGUAAUACCUUGCUGUUGUGACGGUACCAACAGAAUAAGCACCGGCUAACUACGUG
RNAcentral lists this ribosomal RNA (484 nucleotides) under uncultured bacterium. RNAcentral's name for it is "partial 16S ribosomal RNA". It matches the Rfam family "Bacterial small subunit ribosomal RNA", at positions 30 to 507 of the family's 1533-position model. The record is from RNAcentral.